This 337-nucleotide long non-coding RNA is filed under the name Brassica napus (rape). RNAcentral describes it as "long non-coding RNA (BNAP_LNC017363)". The record is from RNAcentral. Lineage: Eukaryota; Viridiplantae; Streptophyta; Magnoliopsida; Brassicales; Brassicaceae.
AAAACAGAUUUUGCACUCUUUAAUUAACCUCUUUUAUAAGUUAAACUCUGUUUUCGUGUAAUCAAAGUAAGUGUCGGGCCAAUAACAUGAUCACCACCAUUGACAAUACUGCCUCUUUCCCCUUUCUAGUCGGGCCAAUAACAUGAUCACCACCAUUGACAAUACUGCCUCUUUCCCUUUUCUAUUCCCCUGCAACAAACGGUAACACAUUAAAGCACUUUAUCACUAGAUUCAUUAAACACGCAAAGGUAAAAGAGAGUAACGUCUCUAGCAUUGGUAUCAUCACAUAUGUUAUCUGAAUAUUAACAAGUUCAGUAUCAUCACGUCUGUCCAUUUU